GCGAUCCCAGGUCAGGCGGGGCUACCCGCUGAGUUUAAGCAUAUCAAUAAGCGGAGGAAAAGAAACUAACGAGGAUUCCCUUAGUAGCGGCGAGCGAACCGGGAAGAGCCCAGCAUGAAAAUCGUCCGUCGUCGACGGCCGAAUUGUAGUCUGGAGAAGCGUCCUCAGUGACGGACCGGACCCAAGUUCACUGGAAGGUGGCGCCGGAGAGGGUGAGAGCCCCGUCGUGUCCGGACCCUGUC
This 242-nucleotide ribosomal RNA is filed under the name Miconia erosa. RNAcentral's name for it is "partial 28S ribosomal RNA". It matches the Rfam family "Eukaryotic large subunit ribosomal RNA", at positions 1 to 240 of the family's 3401-position model. Lineage: Eukaryota; Viridiplantae; Streptophyta; Magnoliopsida; Myrtales; Melastomataceae. The record is from RNAcentral.